GUCUACGCGAAGAACCUUACCAACCCUUGACAUGGGACGUAUGGGCUUCAGAGAUGAGGUCCUUCAGUUCGGCUGGCGUCCACACAGGUGAUGCAUGGCUGUCG
RNAcentral lists this ribosomal RNA (104 nucleotides) under uncultured bacterium. RNAcentral's name for it is "partial 16S ribosomal RNA". The record is from RNAcentral.